GACUGCAGCUCAAAGGUCACAAGCACCAUGGUAGUCUCAUUUUGCUUUGCUGCUCGAUGGACAUUAUGGAUCUGUUGGGAUGCCGGCCCAACAAGUUCUAGAGGAGAGCUUGAGACAAAGCAUUGGAACACAAAGAAAACACCUCGCUGGAGGACUGGAGGUCACAUGUUCCCGACUGAAAAUUCUACGCUUAUCAGGAAGCCUGAAGACGACAGCAGUGGACUUCCAUGAGGAAUUUUAAAGGGUGAAGGGUUACAGCGCCACCUGCAGCUCUGGCAUGCACCUCACAUCCUGUUCGAGUCAACGUUCAAAUACAGAAUCAUACCUUAAAUCUCCAUCUUGUCACUACCACAAAUUUUAAAGUGUGGUCCUUGCCCAGGAUUUCCUCGUUGCAUAAAAUGUCCAACUGUGAGAAAGGGAGGGGAAAAAAAUCAAAUCAUUAAAUACGAAAACUUAAAUAAAAGCUAAUGACAAGGACGCUGUUGUUCAUUCCAACAUGGCGGGGGCUUGGCUCAAACAAGAAAAAUUUAAAUGGGAAAAACAGCUGUAAUUUUAAGAGAAUAAAGUCACAAUAUUUAAAGAAAAACUUUAUUCGCAGAAGAAAUAAAGGACAUUUUCUGUCCAAAAAUAUAUCUAAACAAGAAAAAUUUAAAUGGGGAAAAACAGCUGUAAUUUUAAGAGAAUAAAGUCACAUAAUAUUAUUUUCAUAAUAUUAUUCCCAUAAUAUUUUGACUUCAUUUUAGUAAAUAUAUAGCAUUUUUUACUGCCAUUCUCCAAAUUUUCCAGCAAUUUCAACUUUCUUUUUGUACAUUUUCUUUAUUCCAGUAAUAUUUUGAUUUAAUUCCCCAAACAUUGUCAUUUUUUUCAGCAACCUAAUUUUCCCUCAAAAAAACUUUGUUGUUUGUUUUCAUUAUAUAAUGACAUAUAAUGUCAAUAUUUCAACUCCAUGCUACUGAAAUUACAUUUUUCCUCAUAUUAUGACUCAUAUCAAAUCAAAUCAAAUCAACUUUAUUUGUAUAGCACUUUUCCUGCAAGGAGAUGCAACACAAAGUGCUUUCCAGAAUUAAAACAAUUACCACAAUUAAAAAGGAAAACAAUGAAGAAAAAAGAAAGCCCCUCCUUCCCACCCUCCAUACUAGACCCAUAUCUAAACAAGAAAAAUUUAAAUGGGGAAAAACAGCUGUAAUUUUAAGAGAAUAAAGUCACAAUAUUUAAAGAAAGUAGUUAUUCGCAGAAGAAAUUAAGGACAUUUGAAACAAAAAAAAAUUAAAUGAGAAAAACAGCUGUAAUUUUAAGAGAAUAAAGUCACAAUAUUUAAAGAAAAAAAGUAAGGACAUUUUCUGCGAAUAAAAAAAGAUGCUCAAGCUGCGCCGCCACAGCGCCCCCUGUUGGCUGUAGAGGUCACUCCAAUGCGGUUUGUCUUGAGCAAAAGAAGCCACAAAACCCCCCAAAAAGUCAAGAAGAAAGCCUUGUGAGACUUCUAAGAGGAGAAGACAUGAGAGAAGUGGUCUUGAUCUUCCUGAAGCUGAGCAGGAAGUCGCUCGGCUUUUGAGGCGAAGCUCGUUAUCCUCACCAAAAAGCCGUCAAGUCUCAUGAAAGUACAGUAUUUCUACUUUUCCAAAGACACGUGGAAGUCUUUGUAUAAUCUUCACCAGGUCGUACUGAUGAAGUCGCCGCAUGGACGAAACAGGAAAUGGACACAGCUCGUAAUUGAUGGCUGUGUCUCAAAGUGCGUACUUGCGUGCUUUUGAGCACGUAGUGCACUAAGU
Doryrhamphus excisus (bluestripe pipefish) is the source of this 1769-nucleotide non-coding RNA. The record is from RefSeq and is a predicted model, not a curated record. Lineage: Eukaryota; Metazoa; Chordata; Actinopteri; Syngnathiformes; Syngnathidae.